This 482-nucleotide ribosomal RNA is filed under the name uncultured bacterium. RNAcentral describes it as "partial 16S ribosomal RNA". It matches the Rfam family "Bacterial small subunit ribosomal RNA", at positions 30 to 507 of the family's 1533-position model. The record is from RNAcentral.
AUUGAACGCUGGCGGCAUGCCUUACACAUGCAAGUCGAACGGUAACAGGUCUUCGGCUGCUGGCGUCAGGCGCACGGGGGUGUAAUACAUCUGAACGUGUCCGAUCGUGGGGGAUAACGCAUCGAAAACUUUGCUCUUACAGCGUACGCUCUACGGAUGAGAGAGGGGGGCCGCAAGGCCUUGCGCGCACUGAGCGGCCGAUGGCAGAUUAGGUAGUUGGUGGGGUAAAAGCUUACCAAGCCGACGAUCUGUAGCUGGUCUGAGAGGACGAACAGCCACACUGGGACUGAGACACGGCCCAGACUCCUACGGGAGGCAGCAGUGGGGAAUAUUGGACAAUGGGCGAAAGCCUGAUCCAGCCAUGCCGCGUGCAGGAUGAAGGCCUUCGGGUUGUAAAGUGCUUUUGUACGGAACGAAAAGACGCUAGUUAAUACCUGGGGUCCAUGACGGUACCGUAAGAAUAAGCACCGGCUAACUACGUG